This 335-nucleotide ribosomal RNA is filed under the name uncultured bacterium. Its description in RNAcentral is "bacterial SSU rRNA". It matches the Rfam family "Bacterial small subunit ribosomal RNA", at positions 8 to 334 of the family's 1533-position model. The record is from RNAcentral.
AGAGUUUGAUUCUGCUCAGGACGAACGCUGGCGGCGUGCCUAAUACAUGCAAGUAGAACGCUGAAGAGAGGAGCUUGCUCUUCUUGGAUGAGUUGCGAACGGGUGAGUAACGCGUAGGUAACCUGCCUUGUAGCGGGGGAUAACUAUUGGAAACGAUAGCUAAUACCGCAUAACAAUGGGUGACUCAUGUCAUUUAUUUGAAAGGGGCAAAUGCUCCACUACAAGAUGGACCUGCGUUGUAUUAGCUAGUAGGUGAGGUAACGGCUCACCUAGGCGACGAUACAUAGCCGACCUGAGAGGGUGAUCGGCCACACUGGGACUGAGACACGGCCCAG